This 448-nucleotide ribosomal RNA is filed under the name uncultured bacterium. RNAcentral describes it as "bacterial SSU rRNA". It matches the Rfam family "Bacterial small subunit ribosomal RNA", at positions 330 to 793 of the family's 1533-position model. The record is from RNAcentral.
UCCAGACUCCUACGGGAGGCAGCAGUGGGGAAUAUUGGGCAAUGGGCGCAAGCCUGACCCAGCAAUGCCGCGUGAAGGAAGAAGGCUUUCGGGUUGUAAACUUCUUUGACAGGGGAAGAGCAGAAGACGGUACCCUGAAAACAAGCCACGGCUAACUACGUGCCAGCAGCCGCGGUAAUACGUAGGUGGCAAGCGUUGUCCGGAUUUACUGGGUGUAAAGGGCGUGUAGCCGGGAAGGCAAGUCAGAUGUGAAAUCUGGAGGCUCAACCUCCAAAUUGCAUUUGAAACUGUUUUUCUUGAGUACUGGAGAGGCAGACGGAAUUCCUUGUGUAGCGGUGAAAUGCGUAGAUAUUGGGAGGAACACCAGUGGCGAAGGCGGCCUGCUGGACGACAACUGACGGUGAGGCGCGAAAGCGUGGGGAGCAAACAGGAUUAGAUACCCUAGUAC